AUUCAGAGAGGUUGAGUGACUUGCCCAAGGUCACACAGCGAAUGAGUUCCAGAGCUAAGUAUAUGAACCCAGACUGGUAUACAAAUCGUAUCACUGCCCUCAAGAUACCCCGUUCUCACCUGCCCGUCUCUGCCCUGCUCUGAACCCCUGGCAAGCCCUCAUCUUUCUACUGCUUCCACAUCUUCGCCUCUUGCAGAAGGUCAUCACGUCGGCAUCCUACAGAAGAGCCGGAAAGUACAGCAUCGAGACUUGCAGAAUGUCCUGAAGACACCAGUGAACGCUCGUGUAAGAAAUACUGCCCUUUUCCAGCGUCUUGAGGGUCCAGGGGACGACAGCACAAGGAAACACAGGGGCGCUGACAAGUCUGAGUUGAACAUGAUUCAGAAGAAGAGCUCUGAACGUUUCCAACUUUUAGGACAAGAGGAACUAAUGUGUGCGUAACAGAGAUACACGAAAGCAAACCACAAGGGUGAUGAGAUCCCACCGCACACCCGUCAGAAGGGCUAAAAUCAACAACACAGGGAACAACAGACCUUGGCGAGGAGGCAGAGGAAGGAGAGCCCCGUGCACGGUGGGUGGGAACGCGAGCUGCGCAUCACUCUGCAAAACAGUAUGGAGGCUCCUCGAAAAGUUAAAAAUAGAAUUACCAUGUGAUGCAGGAAUUCUACCCGCGGAUACUUGCCUAAAGCAUAAAAAAUACUAAGUCAAAGGGCUAUAGGCCCCCCAAUAUUUAUAGCAGCGAUGUCCACAAGAGCCAAAUUAUGG
Mustela erminea (ermine) is the source of this 765-nucleotide long non-coding RNA. RefSeq lists it as uncharacterized. The transcript has 3 exons. Lineage: Eukaryota; Metazoa; Chordata; Mammalia; Carnivora; Mustelidae. The record is from RefSeq and is a predicted model, not a curated record.